Molecule: ribosomal RNA, 426 nt
Filed under: uncultured bacterium
Lineage: Bacteria
Description: bacterial SSU rRNA
Rfam family: Bacterial small subunit ribosomal RNA
Source: RNAcentral
GUGAGGAAUUUUCCGCAAUGGGCGAAAGCCUGACGGAGCAAUGCCGCGUGAAGGAUGAAGGCCUAUGGGUUGUAAACUUCUUUUCUCAGAAAAGAAUUAUGACGGUAUCUGAGGAAUAAGCAUCGGCUAACUCUGUGCCAGCAGCCGCGGUAAGACAGAGGAUGCAAGCGUUAUCCGGAAUGAUUGGGCGUAAAGCGUCUGUAGGUUGUUUAAAAAGUAUUCUGUCAAAGAUUAGGGCUUAAACCUAGAUAGGCAGAAUAAACUUUUAAGCUAGAGUUUGGUAGAGGCAGAGGGAAUUCCCGGUGGAGCGGUGAAAUGCGUAGAUAUCGGGAGGAACACCAAAGGCGAAGGCACUCUGCUGGGCCAAUACUAACACUGAGAGACGAAAGCGAGGGGAGCAAAUGGGAUUAGAAACCCGGGUAGUCC